RNAcentral lists this ribosomal RNA (253 nucleotides) under uncultured bacterium. Its description in RNAcentral is "partial 16S ribosomal RNA". It matches the Rfam family "Bacterial small subunit ribosomal RNA", at positions 524 to 776 of the family's 1533-position model. The record is from RNAcentral.
UACGUAGGGGGCAAGCGUUAUCCGGAUUUACUGGGUGUAAAGGGAGCGCAGACGGCAUGGCAAGUCUGAAGUGAAAGGCAUGGGCUCAACCCGUGGACUGCUUUGGAAACUGUCAGGCUAGAGUGUCGGAGAGGCAAGUGGAAUUCCUAGUGUAGCGGUGAAAUGCGUAGAUAUUAGGAGGAACACCAGUGGCGAAGGCGACUUUCUGGACAGUAACUGACGUUGAGGCACGAAAGUGUGGGGAGCAAACAGG